GUGGGGAAUAUUGGACAAUGGGCGCAAGCCUGAUCCAGCCAUGCCGCGUGAGUGAUGAAGGCCUUAGGGUUGUAAAGCUCUUUCACCGAUGAAGAUAAUGACGGUAGUCGGAGAAGAAGCCCCGGCUAACUUCGUGCCAGCAGCCGCGGUAAUACGAAGGGGGCUAGCGUUGUUCGGAUUUACUGGGCGUAAAGCGCACGUAGGCGGUUUGUUAAGUCAGGGGUGAAAUCCCGGAGCUCAACUCCGGAACUGCCUUUGAUACUGGCAAGCUAGAGUCCGGAAGAGGUAAGUGGAACUCCUAGUGUAGAGGUGGAAUUCGUAGAUAUUAGGAAGAACACCAGUGGCGAAGGCGGCUUACUGGUCCGGAACUGACGCUGAGGUGCGAAAGCGUGGGGAGCAAACAGGAUUAGAAACCCUAGUAGUCC
Molecule: ribosomal RNA, 425 nt
Filed under: uncultured bacterium
Lineage: Bacteria
Description: partial 16S ribosomal RNA
Rfam family: Bacterial small subunit ribosomal RNA
Source: RNAcentral